CUUGAAAUGCACCGUGUAGAACGACCAUCGUACAAACAAAGCAGGCAGGUGGGGCUGUUAGCCUUGGGUCUCCCAGACACACCUGUGGAGCAUCAGGCAGCUAUUUAAGGAGCGGCGUUGCAGACGUCCGGUGUUGGAGUAUUUUCUCAGUCAAUCCAGCCGUCUACAGCCUAAAGACCUCUUCCAUGCUCGCCAUCUUCCCUUACCGUGCUUCCUCGAAUCAACUCCCUUUGCAUGCCUACACUGUCAUUGACCCACACCAGCCCUGCCUCAGCCACUAGCUCCACCCCGUCCAAGUCCUCAGUAAACGUGUGACAAAAUGCUCCAGUGACUCUGUCAGCAGGCUCCCGCAUCCCCAUAUUGAGUUUGUAUUAUUUCUCACUGUAAAAAC
Long non-coding RNA from Oreochromis aureus, 391 nucleotides. The record is from Ensembl. NCBI's taxonomy places the organism in Eukaryota, Metazoa, Chordata, Actinopteri, Cichliformes, Cichlidae.